Long non-coding RNA from Haliotis rubra (blacklip abalone), 186 nucleotides. RefSeq lists it as uncharacterized. Lineage: Eukaryota; Metazoa; Mollusca; Gastropoda; Lepetellida; Haliotidae. The transcript has 3 exons. The record is from RefSeq and is a predicted model, not a curated record.
CGGACUGACGAAUUGCAAUCUAACUUGAAAACAAAUAAACGCACAAUACUCAAUGAAACGCUGAUUAUAAUCAAAAUAUCAGAUCAACUCUGAGGUUUUUUGGCAGAAUUUAUGUCUUAAAAAUAUAUAAGUUGUUUAACAAACUAUCAUUAAACUAUUGACGCACUUCAUAUAUAUAUUCAUGGA